GCGGAAUGUGGCUGUCACCUAGGAGUACGUAGCUCGCUUGGUCGCAUGCCAUGAGACAUGAGCGGCGCGUGGUACGGUGGUUGCAGGUGAGCACGAGCGGCGGGUCGCGGAAGGCGCCGACGGAGGCGAAGCUCAAGGUGGCGAUCAACGGGUUCGGGCGCAUCGGGCGCAACUUCCUGCGGUGCUGGCACGGGCGCGGCGACAGCUCGCCGCUGGAGGUGAUCGCCAUCAACGACACCGGAGGCGUGAAGCAGGCGUCCCACCUCCUCAAGUACGACUCCACGCUGGGCAUCUUCGACGCGGACGUCAAGCCCGUGGGCGACAACGCCAUCUCCGUCGACGGCAAGGUGAUCAAGGUCGUGUCCGACCGCAACCCCUCCAACCUGCCGUGGGGCGAGAUGGGCAUCGACCUCGUCAUCGAGGGCACCGGCGUCUUCGUCGACCGCGCCGGCGCGGGCAAGCAUCUCGAGGCCGGAGCCAAGAAGGUGCUCAUCACCGCGCCCGGCAAGGGCGACAUCCCCACCUACGUCUGCGGCGUCAACGCCGACCUCUACACCCACGCCGACACCAUCAUCAGCAACGCCUCAUGCACCACCAACUGCCUCGCCCCCUUCGUCAAGGUCCUCGACCAAAAGUUCGGUACGUGCCCGUCUCCCUCCCUCUCUCUCUCUCUCAACUGAAUCAACUUGUUGACGAUGACUAAUGGCGGCGGUGGCAAUGGCGCAGGC
RNAcentral lists this long non-coding RNA (728 nucleotides) under Hordeum vulgare. RNAcentral's name for it is "long non-coding RNA (HVUL_LNC020883)". Lineage: Eukaryota; Viridiplantae; Streptophyta; Magnoliopsida; Poales; Poaceae. The record is from RNAcentral.